CAACCCAUUCUCUCUCUCUCUCUCUCUCUCUCUCUCUCUCUCUCUCUCUCUCGUUGUGCUUCCACAACCAUAUAUCUUGGCCCUCUUCCCCUUCAACCACAACCCCAACCCCAGGAAGAACAAAAGCCAGAAACCAGAGUCUGAAAUUACGAUCCUACCCUACCAUCUUCUCUCCACCGCCUCCUCUCUAUACCUCUCCUCUCUCCUCUCCUAUAACCCUCCAUCCCUUCUUCCUCACUUUUCCUAUAAAUGCCCCAAAAUCCCUUCCCUAAUCUCCUCCCUCUCCUCCAAUCUCUCCCCUCCCCAUCCCUCAGAUCUUCUACCUUCAAAUUCUCGCCGUCCAUCAUCGACCUCCAGUCCCCGCUCUCCGUGUCCCACCUCCACGUCCCUGAUCCGUCCUAUCCGCCCUCCGUCGAAUUUCGGAGGGUUUAGGGAGAGAGUGGAGGGUUUGGAAGUGAGGAAGACAAUCGAGGCGCUGGAUCAGUUGAGGGGCCUUCUGAGGAGAUGCGAUGUUGAGGCUGGGGAGAUUCCGAGCUUGGUGGAUCUUGGCUCGGCCCAACCGCGACGAUGGCUCAGGUCAAUUAUUGGAUGGCUAGGAUUGCACAAUGGUGGAUGUUCGUGCAGCUUCACCCUUCAAUGGUGGGGUGCCCCUCGGGAUGAUCAGCCUUGAUUUCUGAGAGGUGGGCCCCACUUGAUCAGUGUUGGCCAGAAUGGGAGCAUUGGUAAUUUAUGCGAGCAUUGAAUAUUCCUUCUUAUCUUAUUGAAAUGCAUGGAGAAGGGCGGCGAUCUCCCUCAGGAAACCAGACUAUGGGAGUUCACUGGGACGAUUUGAAAUCCUAUCACUUUCUGGCUCAUUUCUUCUCUUGGAAAGUGGUGGACAACACAGCCAAACAGGUGGAUUGAGUGUAUACCUGGCUGGUCCUGAUGGCCGUGUUUUAGGUGGAGUGGCCAGACUUCUAACAGCAGCAUCCCUAGUCCAGGUCUGUCUAACUUUUAACUACACCUGCUUUUGUUGGCGUUUCAUUUUCCACGCGAAUCUGCUAAGAAACUCUUUGAGGUUUAAAUCUAUAUAAUGUAUGAUUUUACAAAGCAUAAUGGUCUUAG
Long non-coding RNA from Magnolia sinica, 1104 nucleotides. RefSeq lists it as uncharacterized. NCBI's taxonomy places the organism in Eukaryota, Viridiplantae, Streptophyta, Magnoliopsida, Magnoliales, Magnoliaceae. The record is from RefSeq and is a predicted model, not a curated record. The transcript is spliced from 3 exons.